UCGGGAAUUUUGUGCAAUGGGCGAAAGCCUGACACAGCAACGCCGCGUGAAGGAUGAAGUCCCUCGGGAUGUAAACUUCGUAAGAAUAGGAAGAAUAAAUGACGGUACUAUUUGUAAGGUCCGGCUAACUACGUGCCAGCAGCCGCGGUAAUACGUAGGGACCAAGCGUUGUUCGGAUUUACUGGGCGUAAAGGGUGCGUAGGCGGCAUAUCAAGUCACUUGUGAAAUCUCCGGGCUUAACUCGGAACUGCCAAGUGAUACUGAUGUGCUGGAGUGCAGAAAGGGCAACUGGAAUUCUUGGUGUAGCGGUGAAAUGCGUAGAUAUCAAGAGGAACACCUGAGGUGAAGACGGGUUGCUGGGCUGACACUGACGCUGAGGCGCGAAAGCCAGGGGAGCAAACGGGAUUAGAUACCCAAGUAGUCCCUGAGCGGGCUGGCAAGGCGCAU
Molecule: ribosomal RNA, 447 nt
Filed under: uncultured bacterium
Lineage: Bacteria
Description: bacterial SSU rRNA
Rfam family: Bacterial small subunit ribosomal RNA
Source: RNAcentral